This 1625-nucleotide long non-coding RNA is filed under the name Homo sapiens (human). Its description in RNAcentral is "HSALNT0162789". Lineage: Eukaryota; Metazoa; Chordata; Mammalia; Primates; Hominidae. The record is from RNAcentral.
GCAGGUCUUGCCGCGGCUGCUGGGAGGGAUGGGGGUGAGAUUCCCAGGUCAUUGGAGUUGUGUAUCUAGGAGGAUGAUUGCUGCCUCUGCUGAGUCAUGCAGGUUGUCAGGAAAGUUGAGGAAAGUCGGCAGUCACAGGCCUCACCCAGUUCCCACGCAAUCUGAAGGGCCGGUCUCACUCCCAUUGUGCCCCAUCAAUAGCCCCCAGACCAUUUCCAGCUGGAGAGCGAUACAGGCUUGAAAACAUACCCCAGGCUAUCUGCCUCCCAGCUGUGAAAGAAAAGGGCUUGGUUCUUUCCCUGCCUAAGGAGUCUGCACACCGGAUUUACAUCCUCCCCCGAGUGCUGGCCAGAAGGCUUCUCACCUGUUCAAAUUGUUACGAAGUUCAGUUAGAGAUUUGCUUCUCCCUGUGUAGUUUUACCCCCUGCUCCUCUCCCGUUGGAUCCCUGUAUUGCCAGGCAGGAAUGGCCUGCUACAGGACCCCGCGAGCUCCCAGGGCCUUUCUGCUGCUUUCUGUACCCCUGUAUUUCACUCGGCUCUCCAAAUGGACUCAGCUCCAGAAGCUGAAGGGUAGACUCUAUACCCUGCUUCCAUAAGAAUGGGAUCCAUUUUGAUUGUUUCUUCUUUUCAAUGGAAAAAAAGCAAGUAUGCAUUCAGGGAUUUCACCCUUCCUUAACUAUAAAAAGAAGACUUCUUGGGCCAGGCCGGUGGCUCACGCCUGUAGUCCCAGCACUUUGGGAAGCCGAGGCGGAUGGAUCACGAGGUCAGGAGAUCGAGACCAGACUGGCCAACAUGGUGAAACCCCGUCUCUAACAAAAAUAGAAAAAUCAGCUGGGCAUGGUGGUGCAUGCCUGUAGUCCCAGCUACUUGGGAAGCUGAGGCAGGAGAAUUGCUUGAACCUGGGAGGUGGAGGUUGCAGUAAACCGAGAUCGUGCCACUGCACUCCAGCCUGGUGACAGAGCAAGAGUCCGUCUGAAAAAAAAAAAAGACUUCUUAAUAAAAAACAGGCAUACCUCAUUUUACUGCACUUCACUUUUUUUGUGCUUCACAGAUAUUGCUUUUUUUUUUUUUUUUUUUUUUUUUUACAAAUGGAAGGUUUGUGUGGUAACCCUUCAUUCAGCAAGUCCAUUGGUGCCAUUUAUCCAAGAGCAUGUGCUCACCUUGCGUCUCUAUGUUACAUUUUGGUAAUUCUUACAAUAUUUAAAAAUUUUCACUAUGAUUAUAUCUGUGAUGGUGGUCUGUGAUCAGUGAUCUUUGAUGUUCCUAUUGUAAUUGUUUUAGGGCACCACCAACUGCAUUCAUAUAGGACGGUGCACUUAAUUGGUAAAUACUGUGUGUAUUCUAACUGCUCCACCAAUCAGGUGUUGCCUCAUCUUUCUCCUGCUCCUUGGACUCUCAAUUCCCUCAGACACAACAGUGUUGAAAUUAGACCAAUUAAUAUCCCUACAAUGGCCUCUAAGUGUUGAAGUGAAAGAAAGAGUUUCAUGUUUCUCACUUUAAAUAAAAAGCUAGAUAUGAUUAAGCUUAGUGAGUGUAUUAGUCUGUUCUCAUGUUGCUAAUAGAGACAUACCUGAGACUGGGUAAUUUAUAAAGAAAAGAGGUUUAAUGGACUCACCACUCCACAU